This 95-nucleotide signal recognition particle RNA is filed under the name Pseudomonadota bacterium. RNAcentral's name for it is "signal recognition particle sRNA small type". It matches the Rfam family "Bacterial small signal recognition particle RNA". Rfam says of the family: The signal recognition particle (SRP) is a universally conserved ribonucleoprotein involved in the co-translational targeting of proteins to membranes. Archaeal SRP consists of a 7S RNA and homologues of the eukaryotic SRP19 and SRP54 proteins. RNAcentral also lists the same sequence under 2 other names. Lineage: Bacteria; Pseudomonadati; Pseudomonadota. The record is from RNAcentral.
UUUAUGGCUGCGAGUGACGGGAAGUUGAUGAACUCCGCCAGGCCAGGAAUGGAGCAACGGUAGUUGACGGAUCGGGUGCUCGCAGCCACCUUUUU